UUCCCUUGCUAACUGGGCAAAGAGGCACCUUGAAAUGUGGUGCCUUCCUUAAAUCUAGUAGGGGGACAUCAAUCUUCCCUUUUCAUCCCAGCACAGCAUCCUUCCCAGUGGCUGUUUGCUGGUUCAUGCUGGGGAAACAUAU
Small nucleolar RNA from Sceloporus undulatus (fence lizard), 142 nucleotides. RefSeq annotates it as small nucleolar RNA SNORA48. The record is from RefSeq and is a predicted model, not a curated record. Lineage: Eukaryota; Metazoa; Chordata; Lepidosauria; Squamata; Phrynosomatidae. The transcript has a single exon.